GCCCCUGGGCACCAUGUCCCUCCUGCUAGCACUAACGAGACUUUCUCCUCGUGUGCCCCCAGGGCACCACGCCCCUCCUGCUAGCGCCAACGAAACCUUCUCCUCGUGCGCCCCCGGGCACCACGUCUCUCCUGCUAGCGCUAACGAAACCUUCUCCCCUGUGCGCCCCAGGGCAUCACGCCCCUCCUGCUAGCUCUAUCGAGAUCUUCUACCCUGUGUGCCCCCAGGGGCACCACGCCCCCUCCUGCUAGCACCAACCAGAUCUUCUCCUCGUGUGCCCCCAGGGCACCACGCCCCUCCUGCUAGCGCCAACCAGACCUUCUCCUCAUGUGCCCCCAGGGCACCACGUCCCUCCUGCUAGCACUAACAAAACCUUCUCCCCGUGCGCCCCCAGGGAACCACACCUCUCCUGCUAGCACUAACAAAACCUUCUCCCCUUACGCCCCCGGGCACCACGCCCCUCCUGCUAGCACUAAUGAGACCUUCUCCCCUGUGCGCCCCCAGGGCACCACACCCCUCCUGCUAAUGCUAACGAGAUCUUUUUUCCUGUGCCACCCCCUGGGCACCACGUCCCUCCUGCUAAUGCCAAACAGACCUUCUCCCCUGUGUGCCCCUGGGCACCACGCCCCUCCUGCUAGCACCAACCAGACCUUCUCCCCAUGUGCCCCUAGGGCACCACGCCCCUCCUGCUAGCACUAACGAGACCUUCUCCUCUGUGUGCCCCUGAGGCACCGCGCCCCUCCUGCUAGCGCUAACGAGACCUUCUCCCCUGUGUGUCCCCAGGGCACCACGCCCCUCCUGCUAGCUCUGACAAAACCUUCUCCCCUGUGCGCCCCCGGGGCACCAUGCCCCUCCUGCUAGUGCUAAUGAGACCUUCUACCCUGUGUGCCCUCAGGGCACCAUAUUCCCCUGCUAGUGCCAACCAGAUCUUCUCCUCCGUACCCCUCACAAGGCCACCACAUUCCUCCCACUCGCUACAAUGAGGCCUUCCCUUACUUAUGCCACCGGGUGCCUGCCUGUAUCUCUUCCGCUAAUGAGGUCUUCUACUCACUACAGAUGCCAAUUUCCCUCCUGCUAGUGACAGAUGAGCCUUUUCCAACCCUAUGUCCCUUCAGCUCAGGCCAGGUCUUCACUAGGAAAUUAGGUUGGUAUAACUAUGUCACUCUGGGGUGUAAAAAAUCUGCCCUCACCCAGCAACCCAGUGAUGCCAACCUAACCCCCAGCGCAGAGCAGCACUGUCAGUUGAAGGGCGUCUCCCAUCGACAGAGCUACUGCCCCUCGGGGGGUGGCAUACAUGACAGCUGUACCAGUGCAACUUUAAAAUGUAGACCUGCCCUAAGACUAACGACACCGUCUCCCUUCUGGGCACAUCAGUCACCAGCAUUACCGCAGCCCCUUCUCCUCAGGGCACUUCACUUGUCAGCGUUAAUAUCAAACUGCGUGCGCCUUCCCUGGAGAACUGGCCUGCAUGUGUUUAACCACCACCCCUCAGGCUACUCCAGCAGCCCCAGGCCCCAUCCGUCCCAGUCCAGUCCUCAGACGCCUGCCUUCUUGGAGGAGUCACAGCCAAAGGCCUCCCUGCUCUGUAACCUGCCUCUGCAAUAAACCUCCCCCUGUUUUGUA
Non-coding RNA from Chelonoidis abingdonii (Abingdon island giant tortoise), 1623 nucleotides. The record is from RefSeq and is a predicted model, not a curated record. NCBI's taxonomy places the organism in Eukaryota, Metazoa, Chordata, Testudines, Testudinidae.